GAGUUUGAUCAUGGCUCAGAAUGAACGCUGGCGGCAUGCCUAACACAUGCAAGUCGAACGAAGGCUUCGGCCUUAGUGGCGCACGGGUGCGUAACGCGUGGGAAUCUGCCCUUGGGUUCGGAAUAACAGUUAGAAAUGACUGCUAAUACCGGAUGAUGUCGUAAGACCAAAGAUUUAUCGCCCAAGGAUGAGCCCGCGUAGGAUUAGCUAGUUGGUGGGGUAAAGGCCCACCAAGGCGACGAUCCUUAGCUGGUCUGAGAGGAUGAUCAGCCACACUGGGACUGAGACACGGCCCAGACUCCUACGGGAGGCAGCAGUGGGGAAUAUUGGACAAUGGGCGAAAGCCUGAUCCAGCAAUGCCGCGUGAGUGAUGAAGGCCUUAGGGUUGUAAAGCUCUUUUACCCGGGAUGAUAAUGACAGUACCGGGAGAAUAAGCUCCGGCUAACUUCGUGCCAGCAGCCGCCGUAAG
RNAcentral lists this ribosomal RNA (469 nucleotides) under uncultured microorganism. Its description in RNAcentral is "bacterial SSU rRNA". It matches the Rfam family "Bacterial small subunit ribosomal RNA", at positions 9 to 524 of the family's 1533-position model. The record is from RNAcentral.